UUUUUUUUUUUGUUUUUUUUUUAAAUUGGAAUGAAUUAUGGAUCUCUCAAAUAUGAAACUGAGGACGUAGGAAUCAUUCCGGCGAAAGAGACGUUUGUAUUCUGCAACUCCCUUAAAAUUAUCCAUAAAUUUUGAAAUUAUAAAGAAACUAAGGUUUCAACUCCAUUAGACAAAGUUGAUCUUCGUCUGCAUGAUUUGGCUAUUUAUUCGGUUCUAUUUGGUCUGAUAGCUCUUCAACUGUUUCUGUUUUUUGUGCAUGCUUCGUUCCAAAAAUCGAGAAUUUUGUCGGAACUCUUUCACGAAAUUUCAUUGUAACAUGAAUGGUAAAUUUUCCUUUGAUCUUCUGGUGAGUUAACUCGGUUAUUUUUAGCAGAGUGCGUUAACUGAAUGAUUUUUUAGUUAUUUCACUCUCCAAUCCCGCCGUAGAGAACUUCUCGUUUGAAAAGCAAAGAAUGGGAGGAGCUUAAACCAGUGCAUUAACUACCAUCUCAAAAGUUGUUAAUGCACGGUCUAGCUCCACCUCCUUGGGGUAGUAAUUAGGGAGCAACCAUUUGAACUUCAUGGGGGCUAUGUUUUUUUGUCUCAGUCGGAAAUUUGUUUUCGCAAAAAGCGCGAUCAAUCUUAUUUAGUUUUUCAACGCUUUCAA
This 646-nucleotide long non-coding RNA is filed under the name Mytilus galloprovincialis (Mediterranean mussel). The record is from RNAcentral. Lineage: Eukaryota; Metazoa; Mollusca; Bivalvia; Mytilida; Mytilidae.